This 28-nucleotide small RNA is filed under the name Bombyx mori (domestic silkworm). Its description in RNAcentral is "ovarian small RNA-27615". The record is from RNAcentral. Lineage: Eukaryota; Metazoa; Arthropoda; Insecta; Lepidoptera; Bombycidae.
UCCGUGACUAUCACUUACAUAAUUUCAC